Molecule: ribosomal RNA, 468 nt
Filed under: uncultured bacterium
Lineage: Bacteria
Description: partial 16S ribosomal RNA
Rfam family: Bacterial small subunit ribosomal RNA
Source: RNAcentral
GACGAACGCUGGCGGCGUGCUUAACACAUGCAAGUCGAACGGAAAGGCCCUGCUUUUGUGGGGUGCUCGAGUGGCGAACGGGUGAGUAACACGUGAGUAACCUGCCCUUGACUUUGGGAUAACUUCAGGAAACUGGGGCUAAUACCGGAUAGGAGCUCCUGCUGCAUGGUGGGGGUUGGAAAGUUUCGGCGGUUGGAGAUGGACUCGCGGCUUAUCAGCUUGUUGGUGGGGUAGUGGCUUACCAAGGCUUUGACGGGUAGCCGGCCUGAGAGGGUGACCGGCCACAUUGGGACUGAGAUACGGCCCAGACUCCUACCGGAGGCAGCAGUGGGGAAUAUUGCACAAUGGGCGGAAGCCUGAUGCAGCAACGCCGCGUGCGGGAUGACGGCCUUCGGGUUGUAAACCGCUUUCGCCUGUGACGAAGCGUGAGUGACGGUAAUGGGUAAAGAAGCACCGGCUAACUACGUG